CCUGGGAACUGCGUUNUGAACUGGGUGACUAGAGUGUGUCAGAGGGAGNUAGAAUUCCACGUGUAGCGGUGAAAUGCGUAGAGAUGUGGAGGAAUACCGAUGGCGAAGGCAGCCUCCUGGGAUAACACUGACGUUCAUGCCCGAAAGCGUGGGUAGCAAACAGGAUUAGAUACCCUGGUAGUCCACGCCCUAAACGAUGUCGAUUAGCCGUUGGGCAGCAUGACUGCUUAGUAGCGAAGCUAACGCGUGAAAUCGACCGCCUGGGGAGUACGGUCGCAAGAUUAAAACUCAAAGGAAUUGACGGGGACCCGCACAAGCGGUGGAUGAUGUGGAUUAAUUCGAUGCGACGCGAAGAACCUUACCUGGUCUUGACAUGUACGGAACCCUCCAGAGACGGAGGGGUGCCUUCGGGAGCCGUAACACAGGUGCUGCAUGGCUGUCGUCAGCUCGUGUCGUGAGAUGUUGGGUUAAGUCCCGCAACGAGCGCAACCCUUGUCAUUAGUUGCCAUCAUUAAGUUGGGCACUCUAAUGAGACUGCCGGUGACAAGCCGGAGGAAGGUGGGGAUGACGUCAAGUCCUCAUGGCCCUUAUGACCAGGGCUUCACACGUCAUACAAUGGUCGGUACAGAGGGUAGCCAAGCCGCGAGGUGGAGCCAAUCUCACAAAACCGAUCGUAGUCCGGAUUGCACUCUGCAACUCGAGUGCAUGAAGUCGGAAUCGCUAGUAAUCGCAGGUCAGCAUACUGCGGUGAAUACGUUCCCGGGUCUUGUACACACCGCCCGUCACACCAUGGGAGUGGGGGAUACCAGAAGUAGGUAGGGUAACCGCAAGGAGCCCGCUUNCCACGG
This 848-nucleotide ribosomal RNA is filed under the name uncultured bacterium. RNAcentral describes it as "bacterial SSU rRNA". It matches the Rfam family "Bacterial small subunit ribosomal RNA", at positions 613 to 1462 of the family's 1533-position model. The record is from RNAcentral.